AUCAACCACAUCAAGUAUAACUGUAGAUUAUUGUCGUGUACUGGACAGCAGCUUUUUUCCAAAAUGUUGAAUCUUAUUCUGGUUCUCUCUGGAGUUUGUACAGUGGGCGUGACUUUACUUGAUUUCUACUCUUACUCCCUGGCUGCUGGGGACGGCAGUGGGACUGAAUAUUCUACUGCACAUGCGGGUCGCAUCACUGGUAUCAGAAUCUGGGAAUACAGUAACGCACACAUUGGUGGAAUCCAGCUGAGUUAUGAUGGUAACUGGACAACACUUGUUUGUGCAAACUAUGGCACUCCGAUGG
Molecule: long non-coding RNA, 304 nt
Organism: Sinocyclocheilus rhinocerous
Lineage: Eukaryota; Metazoa; Chordata; Actinopteri; Cypriniformes; Cyprinidae
Exons: 4
Source: RefSeq, a predicted model, not a curated record